RNAcentral lists this unclassified non-coding RNA (138 nucleotides) under soil metagenome. RNAcentral's name for it is "partial internal transcribed spacer 1". The record is from RNAcentral.
UCAAACAGCGGCCUUCGGGCCUCGCUGCACCCUUGUCUUUUGCGCACCGUAUUGUUUCCUCGGCGGGCUUGCCUGCCGGUUGGACAUCAUAAAACCUUUUUGUAGUUGCAAUCAGCGUCAGAAAAACAAUAAUUAUUA